UCGGGAAUUUUGGGCAAUGGGGGAAACCCUGACCCAGCAACGCCGCGUGAAGGAUGAAGUAUUUCGGUAUGUAAACUUCGAAAGAAUAGGAAGAAUAAAUGACGGUACUAUUUAUAAGGUCCGGCUAACUACGUGCCAGCAGCCGCGGUAAUACGUAGGGACCAAGCGUUGUUCGGAUUUACUGGGCGUAAAGGGCGCGUAGGCGGCAUGACAAGUCACUUGUGAAAUCUCUGGGCUUAACCCAGAACGGCCAAGUGAUACUGUCGCGCUAGAGUGCAGAAGGGGCAAUCGGAAUUCUUGGUGUAGCGGUGAAAUGCGUAGAUAUCUGGAGGAAUACCGGUGGCGAAGGCGGCAUCCUGGACCAUUACUGACGCUGAGGCGCGAAAGCUAGGGGAGCAAA
This 400-nucleotide ribosomal RNA is filed under the name uncultured bacterium. Its description in RNAcentral is "bacterial SSU rRNA". It matches the Rfam family "Bacterial small subunit ribosomal RNA", at positions 355 to 772 of the family's 1533-position model. The record is from RNAcentral.